RNAcentral lists this ribosomal RNA (253 nucleotides) under uncultured bacterium. RNAcentral describes it as "partial 16S ribosomal RNA". It matches the Rfam family "Bacterial small subunit ribosomal RNA", at positions 524 to 776 of the family's 1533-position model. The record is from RNAcentral.
UACGGGGGGGGCAAGCGUUGUUCGGAAUUACUGGGCGCAAAGGGCUCGUAGGCGGCCAACUAAGUCAGACGUGAAAUCCCCCGGCUUAACCUGGGAACUGCGUCUGAUACUGGAAGGCUUGAGUAUGGGAGAGGGAUGUAGAAUUCCAGGUGUAGCGGUGAAAUGCGUAGAUAUCUGGAGGAAUACCGGUGGCGAAGGCGGCAUCCUGGACCAUUACUGACGCUGAGGCGCGAAAGCUAGGGGAGCAAACGGG